Molecule: ribosomal RNA, 442 nt
Filed under: uncultured bacterium
Lineage: Bacteria
Description: partial 16S ribosomal RNA
Rfam family: Bacterial small subunit ribosomal RNA
Source: RNAcentral
CCUACGUGUGGCUGCAGUGGGGAAUAUUGCACAAUGGGGGAAACCCUGAUGCAGCAACGCCGCGUGAAGGAAGACGGUUUCGUAUUGUAAACUUCUAUCAAUCGGGAAGAAAGAAAUCACGGUACCUAAAUAAGAAGCCCCGGCUAACUACGCGCCAGCAGCCGCGGCAAUACGUAGGGGGCAAGCGUUAUCCGGAAUUACUGGGUGUAAAGGGAGAGUAGGCGGCAAGGUAAGCGAUAUGUGAAAGCCUUAAGCUUAACUUAAGGAUGGCAUAACGAACUAUCUGGCUAGAGUGCAGGAGAGGAAAGCGGAAUUCCUAGUGUAGCGGUGAAAUGCGUAGAUAUUAGGAAGAACACCAGUGGCGAAGGCGGCUUGCUGGACUGAAACUGACGCUGAGGCUCGAAAGCGUGGGGAGCGAACAGGAUUAGAUACCCCUGUAGUC